This 1282-nucleotide long non-coding RNA is filed under the name Homo sapiens (human). Its description in RNAcentral is "HSALNT0233507". Lineage: Eukaryota; Metazoa; Chordata; Mammalia; Primates; Hominidae. The record is from RNAcentral.
GUUGGUGAGAACUUUCUGAGACUCUUCUAAAAUCUUUUCUAUUGUCCUUUAGUUUCAGAACUACUGGGAUCUAAAUUUUGGUCCCAGAGGCUGGGAACCAGUGCGAGAGAUUGAAUUUUCUGUAAUGCUUAUGGUCUAUUGAGCAAAUGAAUAGCAUCUGAAAAUGGCAAGACUCUAUAAAAUUAAGAAAAUGAAUUGUUUUCAAGCAGUUUUAGAGGAACCAUUUACAUACGGACAAGAUAAUUAUGAUAUAACAAAAGCUUGUGUUAUUUAAGGUGGGGCUUUGGUAGUCUAAUUUAGUGGGUGUCUGUAGUAGAUCAUCAUCAUAACAGCUCCCAGUGAAUCAAUGCCUCCCUGCAUCCACACCCCUUUGUAACAUGAUAUUGUUGCUCUUCCCAUCAAGAAAUGGUCUCUUUUGGCCGGGCACAGUAGCUCACGUCAUCCCAGCACUUUGGGAGGCUGAGGCAGGCAGAUGGCUUGAGUGUAACAAUAUGUUGAAUUUGCCAUGGGCCUUUAAAGCUUCAAUGUUGUGAAGAGCUCUGCAUGAAAUUUUAAAGAGACUGGACCUUUCAUCUGCACAACAGCAGGGCACCUCGCUAUAGGGACAAGAAAGGAAGAGAGAGAGAGAACAUUUCUGAAGUAAUAGUGAAAAAUAACAGCAGAAGCAAUUAUUUCAUCAAAGAUUGCAGGGAGAGGCUCCUCCGUGCUCCUGAGAGGCCGAACACAGGGUCGCCAGCACAGCUUACUGCUCGGUGUCUCCUGAGCCACAGAGGAAGACGUGGCAGGAGCACCUGGUGCUAAUAUAUAUUCAUGUCUAUGGCAAUGCCGACCAUCUGGCUGGUCUGAACCAGGAUAAAAGUGAAGAAUUCCUCUGUGAAGACCCAGCUCUUUCUUUGGCUCCUUUUUUGAAGCCAUCUUUGCUCUGCUCUCCUCUGCUGCCCAGAAAGUUCCAGAGUGAAGCUCAGCUCUAGAUGAACAAAAACUGGUUGAGUCCAGAGAUGCCUGAGUUGGAGAUGAACCUUGCAAACUUUCCUCAUUACCAUACUAAAAACCCCACCCAGGAAGGAGCUUAUCUGCCAUUUCCUACACAUGUGACAUAUGGAGAAGCAUGAUCAGCUACUUCACAGUCUCUGCCUUUACUCUGCCUCCGCAUACAAUGGCUCAGCCAACUAGCCUAACGAAAGCUGUUUUCACCAUUGUUUGGGAGGUACUGCUUUGGGAAACUGCCCCAGCUGUCCUCCUUACUUGUUGUAGGUAAUAAAAUCCCUUUGUUAAAUCUUCC